RNAcentral lists this long non-coding RNA (2257 nucleotides) under Oryza brachyantha (malo sina). Its description in RNAcentral is "long non-coding RNA (OBRA_LNC001246)". Lineage: Eukaryota; Viridiplantae; Streptophyta; Magnoliopsida; Poales; Poaceae. The record is from RNAcentral.
GGUAACAUACUCAAUACCUGGCAUUCCACACCAGAUCAUUCAUUUGCUCUCUUCUAUUUUCGUUUUUCAUACCUAAUGCAGUUGAUAACAAAUCUCCAUUAAUUGCAAAACUGCUGAGCAUAUAUGACUAGUGUAUUGACUGCAUUCAUGAUUAGACAUAACUAACAAAAUCCUUAAUAACUCAUCUAAAUUUGGUCAUCCAUAUCUUUAUUUGGAUGAUCAUUUAAAAUAAUUUUAUCCUUCGUAUCUUUUUUUACUCCAGCAGAUCAUUUAUAUAUAAUAUCCUACAUAUCUGUUUGGAGGAUUGAGAGAGAGCAUUUAAAUAUGGAUUUUUCUCUCAUAAUAUUGAUGGUAUUAAAAAAAUAGAAGAUGUGAUGAAUGCUAGCCCAGAGCUCAACUUUGACUCUUCAUUCUCUAUUUUUAGAGUGACUGACGAGAUAACUUAUCUACUGGAGAUGCUCUAAUGAUAAUAAAGAUUAAAUACCGAGGCUGUAAAAUACCGUAAUAUUAAAAAUGUUAGAACUCAUACCUCGCAAGUAAGUACCACCACCCAUGAUGUCAGUCUACAGAAAAAUAGUCAAUCGGUCAUAAAAUCCUAACGUCACUCGUAAUUUGACACUCUUUUACUCCCUCAAGAGAUUUAUUUAGGAAGAAAACUAACACAAGACGCGGAUAUUCUCGUCCAAUUCUGCAGGUGUAGGCCUUGCCUUUAUGGUUGCACUUGGUACAACAUUGAUGUGCUACUACUGGACAGUGAAGAAAAGAAAGGUGGCAAAAAAGAGAGCAGAGUUGUUCAGGAAGAAUGGAGGCUUGCUACUGCAGCAAAGAUUUUCGAUGAUCACAUCUCAAGGUGAGGACUCAUCAGCGAAGAUAUUUAGUGCUGAAGAACUCAAGACUGCCACGGACAACUAUAAUGAGAGUCGCAUCCUUGGCCGAGGAGGAAGUGGUAUGGUUUACAAGGGUGUCCUUCCGAAUAAUACCGUGGUUGCCAUAAAGAAGUCCAUCUUGUUUGAUGAAAGCCAGGUGGAUCAAUUUGUCAAUGAGAUCACCAUAUUAUCACAGAUCGAUCACCCAAACGUUGUCAAGCUUUUGGGAUGCUGUCUAGAGACAAAAGUUCCACUGUUAGUUUAUGAGUUCAUACCUAAUGGAACGCUCUUCCAGCACAUCCAUAAUAGGAGUUCUUUAACAUGGGAAGAUUGCUUAAGGAUAGCUGAAGAAACAGCAGAAGCACUUGCAUAUCUACACUCUACAUCUUCUACACCAAUCAUUCACAGAGACAUUAAGUCAAGCAACAUACUGUUGGAUGAGAAUUUCGUGGCUAAAAUAUCAGACUUCGGUGCAUCAAGAUCAGUCCCAUUCGAUCAAACCCAUGUAACAACUCUAAUUCAAGGAACAAUCGGUUAUCUUGACCCUGAAUAUUUCCAAAGCGGCAAGCUCACAAAGAAGAGUGACGUUUACAGCUUUGGAGUGGUUCUUGCAGAGCUAUUGACAAGGCAGAAACCAAUUUCUGCAAGCAGGCCGGAGGAAUCCUGUAACCUAGCCAUGUAUAUUGUGAUUUUAUUCAAUGAAAGGCGCCUACUAGAGGAGAUAGAGCCACGCAUUCUGGCAGAAGCAGGCGAAGAGCAGAUAUAUGCUGUUGCGCAGCUCUCCGUCAGAUGCUUAAACUUGAAGGGAGAAGAACGCCCAGCUAUGAGGGAAGUGGCUUCAGUCUUACACGAGCUAAGAGAAUCAUUCAUCGAGGAGCAAACUAGCAGAAGAAGCGACGAUUCAAUGCAGAUGAUUAAUGAACAAGUGAGUGUACAAACUACACAUGGUGAGGCAAGACCGAUUUCCAGCUUGCAAUCUUCGGAAGAAACCACGCAGUACAGCAUGCCGGCCGAAAUACUACCUUCUAAUUUGGCCAGAUGAUGUUCUUAAUUUCUUAUUACAACACAAUAAUCAGACUCGCCGAUUGACAACUUAGGGAACUAUGUAACUCUUUUGUGUUUAGGUCAGCAAAAUCAACUUUUUAUGCGUGCGUGCGUUGCUGGCUUUUAUUACCUGGUUUACCCAUGAAAAAUCCAAAGGAGAGCCAGAGCAGUUCAUACCUCAUGCUUCCACUGAUGAGCGCGGCGCGCUUUCGACUGCUUAGCCGCUCCGACCUUGUACUUGGAGGAAAUCCCCUCGGGCUUAAAGGUCGGUUACUCGGAUCCAUCUCUUCCGCUCGCGUGCUGGUGUGUUUUGUGCCACGGCCCACGGCGGCGGGCGGCGGGCGGCN